Molecule: ribosomal RNA, 683 nt
Filed under: Limosilactobacillus fermentum
Lineage: Bacteria; Bacillati; Bacillota; Bacilli; Lactobacillales; Lactobacillaceae
Description: bacterial SSU rRNA
Rfam family: Bacterial small subunit ribosomal RNA
Source: RNAcentral
AACGCGGCGGUGUGCCUAAUACAUGCAAGUCGAACGCGUUGGCCCAAUUGAUUGAUGGUGCUUGCACCUGAUUGAUUUUGGUCGCCAACGAGUGGCGGACGGGUGAGUAACACGUAGGUAACCUGCCCAGAAGCGGGGGACAACAUUUGGAAACAGAUGCUAAUACCGCAUAACAACGUUGUUCGCAUGAACAACGCUUAAAAGAUGGCUUCUCGCUAUCACUUCUGGAUGGACCUGCGGUGCAUUAGCUUGUUGGUGGGGUAACGGCCUACCAAGGCGAUGAUGCAUAGCCGAGUUGAGAGACUGAUCGGCCACAAUGGGACUGAGACACGGCCCAUACUCCUACGGGAGGCAGCAGUAGGGAAUCUUCCACAAUGGGCGCAAGCCUGAUGGAGCAACACCGCGUGAGUGAAGAAGGGUUUCGGCUCGUAAAGCUCUGUUGUUAAAGAAGAACACGUAUGAGAUUAACUGUUCAUACGUUGACGGUAUUUAACCAGAAAGUCACGGCUAACUACGUGCCAGCAGCCGCGGUAAUACGUAGGUGGCAAGCGUUAUCCGGAUUUAUUGGGCGUAAAGAGAGUGCAGGCGGUUUUCUAAGUCUGAUGUGAAAGCCUUCGGCUUAACCGGAGAAGUGCAUCGGAAACUGGAUAACUUGAGUGCAGAAGAGGGUAGUGGAACUCCUG